UUCUGCAUUCUCAUCAGCUAAAACACCAUGGAAGGGUUUCUUCAAGCUGGUUCUUCAUAUUUUUACUGCAAGUAAGUUCAAUUCUUGAUCAUUUCUUGAAAUUUUUGUAUUUUUAUGACUUUUACAACUAGGCCCACUUGUUGAAUUCAUUAGUUUUUGAUUUUAUAAAAGAAGUUGAAAGUUGAAAGUUGAUAUGAAUAUGUGCUGGAAGUAUAUGAUGAUUUAGCAUGAAAUUAGAGCUUUAAAUUGUUCAUAUGCUGAUUUUAUUGAAAGAAUUGAAUAGAAAGUGAAUGUUUGGGACCUAAUAGUAAAAGAGUUUGAAGUUAGAGCUAUAUGUGGAAAUUCUGAAUUUCAAUAGUUUUGAAAUAACUUAUAAUGUCUAGGUAAAGUAUUAAUUGAGAGAAUUAGAUCAAUUGAGGGGUUAAUUGAGAAAGAACUAAAUUGUAUAAACUGUGAAAUUUGAGGCAAAAUAGAAAUCAACAUUUUGCACUAAAACAGUUUUGGACAGUAGCAGCAGUCUAACUUUGAAAAAUCACCAAAAAUUGUAGAGAUUGAAUUAGAGGGUGAAUAAAAUAUUAAAUUAAAGCUUAUUGAGUCUAGUUUCUUAUAAAAGAAAAGGUGUAAGCAAUGGAAUUGUGAAUCAUGAGAUAUAGUGGAUUUUGUGAGACAAGGUCAGAAUGAAUUCGGGUUCCCCUGUUCUGACUUUGGAAAAUCAUUAAAAAUUUUAAAAAAAUGAUUAUAAGUUAUAAUUUAUAUGGUUAGAAUCCUUAAUGAGUCUAUUUUCAUAAUAAAUAAACGGAAACAUUAUCCGAAUUCUGUACAGUGAGAAAAUUAAUUUUUAGUGAAGAGUGGUCGGAACUGUCAGACAGCAAAACAGGGGACACUUUAAAGAAUAAACUGUACUAUUUUGAUAAACCAAAAAUUCUGAAAAUUUUAUGGUAAGAAGAUAUGUGAAUCUAGUUUUAGGGAAAAUUUACGGAUCUUAAUUUGGAGCUCUGUAGCUCCGGAUAAAAAUAAUUUAGUGACUCUGACUCGGAUAAACAGUUUUGAAUAUACAUGUGAGUGAAUAGUGAAAUUAUAGUUAAUGUUGUUUAAGUGUAUUAUACACAUUAAGGAUGUGGAAUGGAGAGGAGGAGGAGGAAAAUUAGGGAAAUGUAUGAAUGAUUUGUGUAUAAUUGGUCAUAUGCAUGAUUAUAAUUGAUAAACGAUAAAAUAGAAAUGAUGCUUAUAUUUGUGCAUUAUUGGAUAUGGUUUAAGCUCAUGUAUGAAAAUAAAGUUUCAUAGUACGAGUGAAUAGUAUAUUUGGUAUAUGAUUGGGCAUGAAGUAAUGUCUUGAAUGGUUUAUGAAUUAACAUCUGUUGGUAAAUGUGGCACAUUAAUAAAUGUUGUGCUCAUCCAUGCUUAUAAUGCUUAUGUUAUAUGUGUAUUUGGCUAACAUAUUUGGUAUACAUGCUUAGGCUUUGGCCAAGUAGUGGCUGAAUUAUGUCACGUUAAAUUUAUAAGUUAUGCAUUGAAAUGUGAUUAUUGAAUAGAAAUUGAAAUGGUUUGAAUUGAAUUAUUGAAUUAAACUUGAAUAUUGAAAUUGGUGAUUGAUAUGAAUUUUAUUGGAAUUGAAACUGAGAAAGUGGAAAUUGAUAUGUGAGACUGAUACUGAACUGAAUUACGGAAUACUGAAUAUUGUUAUGUAUAUUGCAUUGAAUUGUGAAAUUACUGAAGUAAUAAAUUGUUGUAAUACUGUGAAACUGACUGAAAUAAGUAAUUUAUAAUUGAUACUGAACUAAGAUGAAAAAUUGUACUGAAAGUGAAUUAAAUACCCUAUUAACUCGUUGGGUUAGUCGGAUAUAGUUGGCAUGCCAUAGGAUAUGGAAGAGUACGGGGUAAUUGCCGGCUUACUGAUUAGGCACUUAUGUGCCGACUACUGUUACUGUUACUGAUUCGGCACUUUGUGUGUCGAAUACUGUUACUGUUACCGACUCGGCACUUUGUGUGUCGAGUACUGUUACCGUUACUGUUACAGAUUCAGCACUUUGUGUGUUGAAUACUGUUACUACUACCGUUACUAAUUACUGUAUACUGGUAUGUUUGGUUGGAAUCCGUGUAUCCGUCGAGUCCGAGUCAAGUUAAUAGGGGCAAAUGAAAUAAAGUUAUUGAUAAAACUAAAUCUGAAUGAUAAGACAUAUGUGAAAAGUGAAAUUUGAAAUAAAGAAAUAAGAAUGAUAGUUAUAUAUAAUUAGUUGAUAAUAUUAAAAGAUUGAAUUAUUUAUUAGUAGUGAUAAUUGUAAUGAAAAGUAUGUGUGUGAAUUAAUGUCAGAUAAUGAUAAAUUUUAUGAAAUAUAUUUUGAUAAUAUAAAAUGAUGUAAAAAUGAGAAGUGAAAAUGAAAUAAUUUGAAAUAGUGAAAUAAUAUUUGAAUUUAAUUGAAUACAAGUUAUUGAAAAAUAUUUAUGGAUUUAGUGUAUGAAGUGAGUAUUUAAAGACUCUAACUGUAAAUUGAUUAUAAAAAAAACGAAUUGACAAUGGAAAUUGAUGACGGAUAAAUUAUUAAAAUGGAAUGGGAAAUUGAAAUGAAUGUGUAACAGCCUAAUUUUUAGUAGUGUCAGAGCAGUGAUUUGAGAUAACUAAAUUCGAUGAAAAAGUUAGAAAAAAAAUAUUAAUUAAUAAUUAUAAGUUAAGCGUAAUUUUAGAAAUAUUUUUGAAUUAGUGAUUUUUGUGAUUUACAAGAAAUUAUGAGGUAAAUUGGGUCGAAAAUGAGGUAUCGAGACCUCGAUAUUAUAAAAUGAGCCGUAAAUAUUUUUAUAAAUAUUUAUGGAGUGUCAUUAGGGUAGUAUUAAAGUUUCAUUAAGAAAUUUUAAUGUUUUAAUGGUUAAUUGAUUAAAAGGACUAAAUUACAAUAGGGGUAAAAGUUAAAUAAUAGAUUAAAGAAAAGUUAAAAGGACUAAAUAAGUAAAUAUGCCAAGUCCCAUAAAUGAGGCGGCAUAUGCAUGAUAAAAUCUGAGAUUUUUUUUAGUAUAUUAUUAUUUUAUUAUAUUGUAAAUUGUAUUAAUUAUAUUAUAUUAUUAUAUUUCAAAUAAACAAAAUUGUUGAUAACUGCAUGGUGUAUAUGAUGACAUGUGGAAAAAUGAAAUACAUAAGUAAUGAUUACAUAUUUCCUUAUUAUUUAAGUAAGUAAUAUUAUAUUAUUAUUUUAUUGUUAUUAUAUUAAACUAACUAAAUAAAAGAAAUAAAAAGAUGGAAAAAGAGAAAUGGAAACAGAAUAGGCAAACGAUAACAGGGGAGAAAGGAAAGCAAAAGAAAAAGGGAAGCAAAGGAAGAAAAUUUGGGAUUUCAAGAUUCCAAGCUCAAUGGGUAAGUUAAAUUAAGUCCUUUUUUAUAAUUUUUGAGUUUUUGGUAUCCUAGAACAAAGUAUUAUUGGAUUUAUGUUGAAAUUAGGGGUUAAAUUGAUUAAAUUUCAAGUUAGAAGUUAGUAAAAGGUUGAUUUGUAAAAUAAAUUAUAGGCUUUGAAUUAAUAGGGACUAAAUUGAGAGAAUUUUAAAAUUAGGGAUUUAUGGUGAAAAUGAAGAGUUAAAGUGAAUUUAUAGUAAGAAUUAAGAGAGAAUAUAGAGUUAGAAUGGGAAAAUAAAAUUAGUAUUGAUAAGGGAUUAAAUUGGAAUUUGGGUAAAGUUUAGGUAUAAAAGGAAAUAUUUUAAGAAAAUUGUGUAUUAAUGAUUUUUAAUUGUUUAAUUACGUAGCUAAUGUCAUGCAAGAGUCAUUGUCCGAGAAAGGAAAUGAGAAGGUGAACAAGGAGUGACUCGAGAAAAUUUACGGUUAGUAUUACCAUAAUUCGAAUUUAAUUAUUAAUUGUUAAAAUUUAAAUUAAUAUACAUGAUAAACAAAUUGAAGUAAGUAUCAUGAUUGAAUUGAAUGAUAAAUAAAUAUUGAUAUUGAAUUUAUUAAUAGCAAUUGUUGAAAUUUGAAUAAUAUGUUUAGUAAAUAAAAAUAAGGUGAAUAUCGAUAUUGAAUUAAAUGAUAUUGAAUUGUAUGUGAAUUGAAUGAAAUUAAAAUGAAGUAUGAAUAUGUAUGAGCAAUUGAAAAAUGUAUUGAAUUAAAUUGUGAUUAAAUUGGAAUUGAAAGUAUGAGAAAGUGAUUGAAUUGAAAUGUGAUUCGAAUACCCUAUUAACUUAUCGGACUAGAUUGGAUACAAAUGGCAUGCCAUAGGAUUUGUGAUGUGAUGAGGAGAUUUGUAGCUCGGCCGAGAAGAUGAUUAUGUUAUUAUAUGCUUCGGUUUAUCCGAAGAGGCAUUUAAUGUCUUAUUGUUGUGUUUGGGAGGAUAUGAUAUAUUGGUGUGUUAUGGAGGAUUUAUAUUUAUUUCGGGUGUGUUUUGGUUGGAUAUUCUAGUGUGUUUGGAUGGAAUCCGCGUAUCUGUCAGAGUCCGAGUCAAGUUAAUAGGGGCAAAUGAAUAAUUUUGAUAAUAUAAAUUUUAUUGAAUGAUCUUGAAUAUGAAUCGAAAAGAGAUAGUAAAUUGAGAUAUAGAAAAUGAAAUGUAUAAACUAUGGGUUCAAGAAAUAGAUAAUGAUAUAGUUCAUGAAGUGGUUUUGGUAGUAUGAGAUAAUGUAAAAAAAAAAAAAAAUAUAAGUGAAUAAAAGCAAAUUAAAAUAGCUAUUGUUAAGAAAUGAGAAGUGAAAAUAAAAUGAUUUGAAAUAGUGAAAUAAUAUGUGAAUUUAAUUGAAUACAAGUUAUUGAAAUUUAUUUAUGAAUUUAAUGAAUAAAUUGAGUGUUAAAAUAUUUUUAGUGUAAAUUGAUUAUAAUGAACAAAUCGAAUUAAAAGAUAGUUAUUAUUGUUGUUGUUGUUGUUGAAACAAGUUGAUUUAAUGUAUUAAAUGUUUAUUGAAAAAUUAAUGGUAUAAAUUGAAUUAAGAAAUAGUGUAUGAGUUAAUUUGAAUACAAUUUUAUAAAAUUAGUUAUUAUAAUUGUUGUUGUUGAAAAAUCCAAUAAAAUUUAGAUAGUGAAUAAGGUAUGAAUACAAUUAAGUAUAAGAUUGAAAUAUUGCUUAUUAUUAUUAAUUAUCAUGUUAAUUUAAAGUACGAGAUAAUUAAUGAAUAAUUGUAGACAUAAAUUUAAAUGUGUAUAAUUUAUCGAUUAAUGUUAUUAAUUUGAAUUAUGGUAAUACCACUGAGUAUUCCUAUACUCAGCGUACGAUUGUUUUCGUGCGCAGGUUAGUAGAAAGUCAGUGUCCGGUCCAGCAUCCAGAGUAAUCCUGACCUCAGAGAAAUUUUAGUGAUGUACCUUUGUUUGAUAAUGUGGCAUGUACCUAGGUGAUGUAUAGGUUAAGUAUAAAAGUUUUGUUAUUACGGUUGUAGAAUAAUGUUUAAACUAGUUAUAAGUUAUUUGAUAUAUCCGGUAAUGCUCCGUAACCCUAUUCUGGCGACGGUUUAGGGUUAAGGGGUGUUACAGAAUGUGAAAUAAUUACUAAAAAACUAAUGUUGUAAGGUUUAGAUAUGAAAUAGAAUAAGUUAUUGAAUUGAGAAUUUCAUAAACGUGUUAAUGAAUGGUAUAGUCUAUAAACAUUGAAUUAAAUGGUAAUUACGUAUUAGUAUUAAACUUAGUGACAUUGAAUUGUACGUGAAUUAAAUGGAAAAUUGCUAGUGAUAUGAUUUAAAUUGUGAGCAUGAGAAAUUGCAAAUUGAAUUAAAUGGAAAUGAAACAUUGACUUGCA
Molecule: long non-coding RNA, 5690 nt
Filed under: Gossypium barbadense (sea-island cotton)
Lineage: Eukaryota; Viridiplantae; Streptophyta; Magnoliopsida; Malvales; Malvaceae
Description: long non-coding RNA (GBAR_LNC015938)
Source: RNAcentral